Molecule: long non-coding RNA, 262 nt
Filed under: Orbicella faveolata
Lineage: Eukaryota; Metazoa; Cnidaria; Anthozoa; Scleractinia; Merulinidae
Description: uncharacterized LOC110059584, transcript variant X2
Source: RNAcentral
UGCAGAGGAUACAUGUCCAAACAAAGAGAAGAAACCCUGGCUCGUCGUUGAUACCAGAUAUUGCUGAUACCAUAUAUUGGAGACUGCAGUUGUUCCAACUAUCUUUGCGAAGACUCUGCAGAAGAUACAUAUCAAGACAAAGAGAAGAAAACCUGGUUCGUCGUUGAUACAAGUCAUGUAUUUCAAGUGCGGAAUCCUUUUGCUGAUGCUCGUCGGAUAUUGUAAGUAUCAAAACGUACGCCGGCGCACGAGCACACUCACG